This 63-nucleotide transfer RNA is filed under the name Pseudabris hingstoni. Its description in RNAcentral is "tRNA-Gly". Lineage: Eukaryota; Metazoa; Arthropoda; Insecta; Coleoptera; Meloidae. The record is from RNAcentral.
AUUUAUAUAGUAUAAUUAUUAUGUUUGACUUCCAAUCAAAAGAUCUAGAAUUUAGUAUAAAUA